This 253-nucleotide ribosomal RNA is filed under the name uncultured bacterium. RNAcentral's name for it is "partial 16S ribosomal RNA". It matches the Rfam family "Bacterial small subunit ribosomal RNA", at positions 524 to 776 of the family's 1533-position model. The record is from RNAcentral.
UACGAGGGGGGCAAGCGUUGUUCGGAAUUAUUGGGCGUAAAGCGCGUGUAGGCGGUCUUCUAAGUCUGGUGUGAAAGCCCGGGGCUCACCCCCGGAAGUGCACUGGAAACUGGGAGACUCGAGUACCGGAGAGGAGGGUGGAAUUCCUGGUGUAGCGGUGAAAUGCGUAGAUAUCAGGAGGAACACCGGUGGCGAAGGCGGCCCUCUGGACGGAUACUGACGCUGAGACGCGAAAGCGUGGGGAGCAAACAGG